This 28-nucleotide non-coding RNA is filed under the name Homo sapiens (human). Lineage: Eukaryota; Metazoa; Chordata; Mammalia; Primates; Hominidae. The record is from RNAcentral.
UGACACUGCCUCUGUAGUGGUACUGCCC